Molecule: ribosomal RNA, 253 nt
Filed under: uncultured bacterium
Lineage: Bacteria
Description: partial 16S ribosomal RNA
Rfam family: Bacterial small subunit ribosomal RNA
Source: RNAcentral
UACGGGGGGGGCAAGCGUUGUUCGGAAUUACUGGGCGUAAAGGGCUCGUAGGUGGCCAACUAAGUCAGACGUGAAAUCCCUCGGCUUAACCGGGGAACUGCGUCUGAUACUGGAUGGCUUGAGUUUGGGAGAGGGAUGCGGAAUUCCAGGUGUAGCGGUGAAAUGCGUAGAUAUCUGGAGGAACACCGGUGGCGAAGGCGGCUAUCUGGCCAUGUACUGACGCUGAGACACGAAAGCGUGGGGAGCAAACAGG